Molecule: ribosomal RNA, 391 nt
Filed under: uncultured methanogenic archaeon
Lineage: Archaea; Methanobacteriati; Methanobacteriota
Description: bacterial SSU rRNA
Rfam family: Archaeal small subunit ribosomal RNA
Source: RNAcentral
GUCGAUUAGCAUGCGAGUCGUGAGACGAAAGGUCUCGGCAUACUGCUCAGUAACACGUGGAUAAUCUACCCAAAGUCUGGGAUAACCCCGGGAAACUGGGUAUAAUACCGGAUAAACCAAUACUUCUGGAAUGGGUGUUGGUUGAAAGGCAACGCUUUUGGAUGGGUCUGCGGCGGAUUAGGUUGACGCCGGUGUAACGUACCGGCGUGCCUGUCAUCCGUACGGGUUGUGGGAGCAAGAGCCCGGAGAUGGAUUCUGAGACACGAAUCCAGGCCCUACGGGGCGCAGCAGGCGGGGAAAAACUCUACAAUGCAGGCAACUGCGAUAGGGGGACAUCGAGUGGCAUCCACCUUGGGUGCCUGUCCAACCGUCUAAAAAACGGGUGGUUAGC